Molecule: ribosomal RNA, 260 nt
Filed under: uncultured bacterium
Lineage: Bacteria
Description: partial 16S ribosomal RNA
Rfam family: Bacterial small subunit ribosomal RNA
Source: RNAcentral
CAAAGAGAAGCAAAGCCGCGAGGUAGAGCAAAUCUCAAAAAAACAUCUCAGUUCAGACUGCAGGCUGCAACUCGCCUGCACGAAGUCGGAAUUGCUAGUAAUCGUAGGUCGGCAUACUACGGUGAAUACGUUCCCGGGCCUUGUACACACCGCCCGUCAAACCAUGAGAGUUGGCAACACCCGAAGUCGGUAGUCUAACCGCAAGGAGGACGCCGCCGAAGGUGGGGUUGAUGAUUAGGGUUAAGUCGUAACAAGGUAAC